Molecule: ribosomal RNA, 501 nt
Filed under: uncultured bacterium
Lineage: Bacteria
Description: bacterial SSU rRNA
Rfam family: Bacterial small subunit ribosomal RNA
Source: RNAcentral
UAGUCCACGCCCUAAACGAUGCUAACUCGAUAUUUGGAUUUAGGUCUGAGUGUCUAAGGGAAACCAAUAAGUUAGCCACCUGGGGAGUACGAUCGCAAGAUUGAAACUCAAAGGAAUUGACGGGGGCCCGCACAAGCGGUGGAGCAUGUGGUUUAAUUCGAUGAUACGCGAGGAACCUUACCAGGGCUUAAAUGUAAGUUGCAUAGACCAGAGAUGGUCUUUUCUUCGGACUACUUACAAGGUGCUGCAUGGUUGUCGUCAGCUCGUGCCGUGAGGUGUCAGGUUAAGUCCUAUAACGAGCGCAACCCCUACCGUUAGUUGCCAGCAAGUAAAGUUGGGGACUCUAGCGGGACUGCCUACGCAAGUAGAGAGGAAGGAGGGGACGACGUCAAGUCAUCAUGGCCCUUACGCCCAGGGCUACACACGUGCUACAAUGGUGCAUACAGAGGGUAGCGACACUGCGAGGUGAAGCCAAUCUCAAAAAGUGCAUCUCAGUUCGGA